Molecule: ribosomal RNA, 274 nt
Filed under: uncultured bacterium
Lineage: Bacteria
Description: partial 16S ribosomal RNA
Rfam family: Bacterial small subunit ribosomal RNA
Source: RNAcentral
AUACGGAGGGUGCAAGCGUUGUUCGGAAUCAUUGGGCGUAAAGCGCACGCAGGCGGACUUUCAAGUCUGAUGUGAAAGCCCGGGGCUCAACCCCGGAAGUGCAUUGGAUACUGGCAGACUUGAGUAUGGGAGAGGAAAGCGGAAUUCCGAGUGUAGGAGUGAAAUCCGUAGAUAUUCGGAGGAACACCAGUGGCGAAGGCGGCUUUCUGGACCAAUACUGACGCUGAGAUGCGAAAGCGUGGGGAGCAAACAGGAUUAGAAACCCCGGUAGUCC